Long non-coding RNA from Homo sapiens (human), 644 nucleotides. Ensembl annotates it as long intergenic non-protein coding RNA 2669. NCBI's taxonomy places the organism in Eukaryota, Metazoa, Chordata, Mammalia, Primates, Hominidae. The record is from Ensembl.
AAUGGGCAACGAUCAAAUUUCACCUUGAGCAGAUUCUUUUGUUUGCUUUUUAGUCACAAAUAGCUUGGCCCUAAGUGGUGGCUCCCAUUCUUGUAAGAUGCGUUUAUUCAUCGUGUAAUCACCAGUUCCCUGUAGUGGGGGCGUGGAUGGAGUGUCAGAGGCUCCUGCUGGUCUUUAGGGUGUCUGGCCUCCAGGAAUCCUAGAGGUAGUAUUUGGAGAGAUUUUUAAAAGCUUUGUUUCUGUGACCAGCAAAACCUGGAUUUGACACUGAGGUCAGCCCGUUUCAGCCAGUGACGUAACCUGUCUUUUUGCCCCAGUAAAUUGGGAACUACAGCACUCGAUGUUAGAGUUGUCGUGAAGAUUAAAGAAGGUGACGACUGGACAACUCCCAGCCCAAUACCUGAAACUGUACCAGCACCCAGUGAGCACUGCUAUUCCUGUGACUGCUGCACAUUUGCCUUAUCUCAGCAGUAUGCCUGUGUCACUUUUUUGGCUAACGUCAAGACUUUCACAGUAGUUUAACUGAAGAAUCUGCAAAAUUUAACAGUUAUUCCAAUCCCUUCUAUGUUAAGGAUUACCCUUCAAUCAAUGUCUCAUUUUCUCUCUAAAAUCUAUUGAAAAAGAAAAAAAAAAACACAACAGAA